Molecule: long non-coding RNA, 385 nt
Organism: Eufriesea mexicana
Lineage: Eukaryota; Metazoa; Arthropoda; Insecta; Hymenoptera; Apidae
Exons: 3
Source: RefSeq, a predicted model, not a curated record
GCGCGCUCGUACAAGUUAUACGCAGAUACGUGGGAAUCAAUACGAUACAGUUUGGAGUCUACGAGAUCCUGUUCGGGAUAUCUGGAAUCACGUGCAUGGAUUUUCCCUGAAUCGAUGGUUGGAGGCGAUUCUACAGAACCUGUGAUCCAGUCCCAGAAUCAAGGUUGAACAGUCAACGUCACAUUGCAAGGCUACAUCCGGUUAAUUGUAAGCUCGCCAUUGCCCUUCCCGCCCCCAGACUCGCCUCUCUGCAGGCCAGGCCGAUCGGACCCGGCCCGCAAGCCCUGCCGAUGCACUGAAAAUAUUGUAACCGGUUCCCACUUUUCUCUCAUUCAAUAUCAGCCACGUUAUUUAUGACGUGUAUUAUCCGGCGAGAAAUACGACA